This 253-nucleotide ribosomal RNA is filed under the name uncultured bacterium. RNAcentral's name for it is "partial 16S ribosomal RNA". It matches the Rfam family "Bacterial small subunit ribosomal RNA", at positions 524 to 776 of the family's 1533-position model. The record is from RNAcentral.
UACGUAGGGUGCAAGCGUUGUCCGGAAUUAUUGGGCGUAAAGAGCUCGUAGGCGGUCUGUCGCGUCGGCUGUGACAACCCGGAGCUCAACUCCGGGCCUGCAGUCGAUACGGGCGGACUUGAGUGUUGCAGGGGAGACUGGAAUUCCUGGUGUAGCGGUGAAAUGCGCAGAUAUCAGGAGGAACACCGGUGGCGAAGGCGGGUCUCUGGGCAGCUACUGACGCUGAGGAGCGAAAGCGUGGGGAGCGAACAGG